RNAcentral lists this long non-coding RNA (243 nucleotides) under Hordeum vulgare. RNAcentral describes it as "long non-coding RNA (HVUL_LNC018764)". Lineage: Eukaryota; Viridiplantae; Streptophyta; Magnoliopsida; Poales; Poaceae. The record is from RNAcentral.
CCGAAUCUUUUCCUUCAUCUCCUUUGGAGUUCGUGGCUCCGUUUUCCACUUAGAUUUAGGAGGGGCUAGAGGAAAUAAUGGAAUAGAUCCACAUAUAUUGAAUUGAUAGGAGGGUACCCAUCUGGAGUAAAGUCCUCUUCUCCCUCUUUUGCUUCAACUUUCUCCCCGAUCUACAUCACCUCGGCCUUCUCCUUCAUGUCCUUCUUCUCCUCAGGAGGUUCUUUCUUGAUGUUAAGCUUCAUC